CCGGGAUGUUCAUAACCCUUUGUUGUCCGACUCUGUUGCCUCCGGGGCGACCCUGCCUUCGGGCGGGGGCUCCGGGUGGACACUUCAAACUCUUGCGUAACUUUGCAGUCUGAGUAAACUUAAUUAAUAAAUUAAAACUUUUAACAACGGAUCUCUUGGUUCUGGCAUCGAUGAAGAACGCAGCGAAAUGCGAUAAGUAAUGUGAAUUGCAGAAUUCAGUGAAUCAUCGAAUCUUUGAACGCACAUUGCGCCCCCUGGUAUUCCGGGGGGCAUGCCUGUUCGAGCGUCAUUUCACCACUCAAGCCUCGCUUGGUAUUGGGCAACGCGGUCCGCCGCGUGCCUCAAAUCGACCGGCUGGGUCUUCUGUCCCCUAAGCGUUGUGGAAACUAUUCGCUAAAGGGUGCUCGGGAGGCUACGCCGUAAAACAACCCCAUUUCUAAGGUUGACCUCGGAUCAGGUAGGGAUACCCGCUGAACUUAAGCAUAUCAAUAAGCGGAGGAAAAGAAACCAACAGGGAUUGCUCUAGUAACGGCGAGUGAAGCAGCAAUAGCUCAAAUUUGAAAUCUGGCGUCUUCGGCGUCCGAGUUGUAAUUUGUAGAGGAUGCUUCUGAGUAACCACCGACCUAAGUUCCUUGGAACAGGACGUCAUAGAGGGUGAGAAUCCCGUAUGCGGUCGGAAAGGUGCUCUACACGUAGCUCCUUCGACGAGUCGAGUUGUUUGGGAAUGCAGCUCUAAAUGGGAGGUAAAUUUCUUCUANAGCUAAAUAUUGGCCAGAGACCGAUAGCGCACAAGUAGAGUGAUCGAAAGAUGAAAAGCACUUUGGGAAAGAGAGUUAAAAAGCACGUGAAAUUGUUAAAAGGGAAGGGAUUGCAACCAGACUUGCUCGCGG
RNAcentral lists this ribosomal RNA (890 nucleotides) under fungal endophyte. RNAcentral describes it as "eukaryotic LSU rRNA". The stretch from base 444 to 890 matches the Rfam family "Eukaryotic large subunit ribosomal RNA", at positions 1 to 444 of the family's 3401-position model. The record is from RNAcentral. Lineage: Eukaryota; Fungi.